This is a long non-coding RNA of Papaver somniferum (opium poppy), 2220 nucleotides long. RefSeq lists it as uncharacterized. The transcript has 10 exons. NCBI's taxonomy places the organism in Eukaryota, Viridiplantae, Streptophyta, Magnoliopsida, Ranunculales, Papaveraceae. The record is from RefSeq and is a predicted model, not a curated record.
CAUUUCUCCCUCGUUCUCCUCGUGGAAACGAUGGAAACAACACCAUCUAGAUCUGCUGAAACCCAUACUAAUUUAUCUCUUCUUAGUGAUCCUUCUCUUUUUUUUUUCCAGAUAUUAUUUCGAGAGCUAAUUUACCUGCUUCAGCUUAUAAAUCCGGAGAAAAGCAUCAUGAAUCAGUUAUGUCUUUGUUCUCAAACCCUAAAAAAUGUGAUUUUUGCGAUUUUUUUUAACACUAGAACCCUAGAAAUUUGUGUACAGAAAAAUGGAGUGAUGUAUGAGUGACGAUGAAGAUACUGAAGAAGAAGAAGAAUCUGAGGAGUUGUAAUCGUUUCAAUGAUUUUCCUCUUGAUUCUCCCAUCCAAGAUGAGUUUCUUUCCCUUGUCAUUAGAUAUUUUUUGGGUUUCAUUGGAUACGUGUUGAGAAAUCUUAUUAUGAUUUAAGAUAAAUUAAGGAUGCUGAGAUAUGGAUUUUAAAUAAGUUUUUCUUAUGGAGAUGUUAAUAGCACACCGAUAUAGUAAGAAUCUAGCUAAAAGUUAAACUUGAUUGUUUGGUUUGUACUGUAGAAAGAAAAUUUGUAAUUGACGCUCCUGCAAUUCUUACAUGUGUUGUGCCGAAUGUAAUUCGGGUUUGAUCCUACUAAAUGUGGAACACCUGAGGUCUUUUUCAAAGAUGAGGAUAAUCUUGAACAGGUUGAUUGUACUAGACAGAAGAAUCAAAUAGAUCCUGGAAGAGAUGGAUGUACAAGUAAACCAAGUUGGUAAGGAAGUUCAGCUAGGGAACUAUGAAGACUACUUGUCCUGAAGGCAGGUUUUUGAAUCGACUAUGAAUGCAGCUUAUGAGUCUAGGGUUUUGAGGGUUUUGGUGAUGAUUGUGUUGUGGUGGUGAUGAAACAGUGCACCAAGGUCCAAUAAUGAACAUGGAAGAAACUCACUGCUCACUCGUAUGUCUUAUGAAUUCUUGUGAUGGGGAGUUAGCUUUGACAGCAUGGGGUACCUCAGACUGCGAUGUAGUAAUCUUGCCUUAACUGAAGCAUGCAUUUUGUCUUUGCAUAUUGCGAUACAGGUCACUUUGAUCUUGAUGGGAAGCCAAGCUUUUGAUUAUAAAUGAUUGGCAGUGGAGAUAUCAGUAUUGAAGGAGCACAAAAUGUAGAAGGUGAGGAAGCUAAUGGUGCAAGAGGUAAACACUAAGAAAUUGAUCAUUUAUAAGGCACGAGGGUACAUUUAAAUCCCCACAUAUACAACAAUGACGUGUGCUAAUGACUUCAUGAAUCAACGUCAAGAUCUUGCAACAAUGUUUAAUGAACAAUCCGUAGUUAUGGCUAAAAACAGGUUGCCUCUGGAUUAUUCCAUGGGUCUCUAUAUCGAAACUAGAUUGAGUGAUGUCUUUGUGAUUGUUGUCCACUGUUUUUGUAAGAGUCUGAAACAAAGGAUGGACUAACUCAAUGUGUGGUGUUUGAAGCGAUAGAAUACUGUGUUGCACGCUUUGCUCACUUCAGGUCUGUCUGAAGCUUUUGCUCUUCCAUUAUUAUGAUUAGGGGUGGUGCUAAUAUAUUGCGCAGAAUAAACACUAUUCUUAUAGUUACUCCCUUUUGAGGGCCAGAUUGAUUUCACCAAAGGCCUCUGUCCAGGAUGGUGAAAAGGUCCAGAACAUAUGAUCAUCUUAGCUUUGACCUUUCAAUAAUGGUUGUUGUCUUCUAGUUUUACUUGAAAGUUUGUGACUAUGAUGGGUUGUGUCUUAUCAAACAGUAUGUAGAUCAACUGCCAAGUGCUCAUCCUGACAGUUCUACUGACAAAUCAGAGUUACAGAAACUCCCGGAUGAUAGAAAGACACAUCCAAUCUAUCCUUAUCAAUAGGAACUACAGCGCAUCCCUUCUUGAUAUCUUUACAAAAGAUGAUUAAACAAACAUGGACGUUAUACCAAUAUAUGUGAUUUCGUGAAAUCAUGUAUGAUGUUGUCUCCAAAUGAGGAUGUUAACAGGUGGUCACUUUGUCUGGAUAAUGUCAAUCUGUCCAGACGAUGUCAUUUUGGUUUCUUUGAGAUGCUAGUCUUUAUCUUCUUUUGGGCAAGUUGUGGUGCUUGUUAUGAACUUGUAAUAAGAUGUUUCUUUUGGAAAAAAUCUUUCUUCCAUUUUGCUUUGAUUUUAUGAUGAAACAUUGAAACUUCAAGAACUGUAUGAACAGGGGUAAUUUGAAUUUGAUAAGAGGGAACUAUGAUUUUAA